Molecule: ribosomal RNA, 1303 nt
Filed under: Bacillus sp. (in: firmicutes)
Lineage: Bacteria; Bacillati; Bacillota; Bacilli; Caryophanales; Bacillaceae
Description: bacterial SSU rRNA
Rfam family: Bacterial small subunit ribosomal RNA
Source: RNAcentral
UGCAGUCGAGCGGANAGAUGGGAGCUUGCUCCCUGAUGUUAGCGGCGGACGGGUGAGUAACACGUGGGUAACCUGCCUGUAAGACUGGGAUAACUCCGGGAAACCGGGGCUAAUACCGGAUGGUUGUUUGAACCGCAUGGUUCAGACAUAAAAGGUGGCUUCGGCUACCACUUACAGAUGGACCCGCGGCGCAUUAGCUAGUUGGUGAGGUAACGGCUCACCAAGGCGACGAUGCGUAGCCGACCUGAGAGGGUGAUCGGCCACACUGGGACUGAGACACGGCCCAGACUCCUACGGGAGGCAGCAGUAGGGAAUCUUCCGCAAUGGACGAAAGUCUGACGGAGCAACGCCGCGUGAGUGAUGAAGGUUUUCGGAUCGUAAAGCUCUGUUGUUAGGGAAGAACAAGUGCCGUUCAAAUAGGGCGGCACCUUGACGGUACCUAACCAGAAAGCCACGGCUAACUACGUGCCAGCAGCCGCGGUAAUACGUAGGUGGCAAGCGUUGUCCGGAAUUAUUGGGCGUAAAGGGCUCGCAGGCGGUUUCUUAAGUCUGAUGUGAAAGCCCCCGGCUCAACCGGGGAGGGUCAUUGGAAACUGGGGAACUUGAGUGCAGAAGAGGAGAGUGGAAUUCCACGUGUAGCGGUGAAAUGCGUAGAGAUGUGGAGGAACACCAGUGGCGAAGGCGACUCUCUGGUCUGUAACUGACGCUGAGGAGCGAAAGCGUGGGGAGCGAACAGGAUUAGAUACCCUGGUAGUCCACGCCGUAAACGAUGAGUGCUAAGUGUUAGGGGGUUUCCGCCCCUUAGUGCUGCAGCUAACGCAUUAAGCACUCCGCCUGGGGAGUACGGUCGCAAGACUGAAACUCAAAGGAAUUGACGGGGGCCCGCACAAGCGGUGGAGCAUGUGGUUUAAUUCGAAGCAACGCGAAGAACCUUACCAGGUCUUGACAUCCUCUGACAAUCCUAGAGAUAGGACGUCCCCUUCGGGGGCAGAGUGACAGGUGGUGCAUGGUUGUCGUCAGCUCGUGUCGUGAGAUGUUGGGUUAAGUCCCGCAACGAGCGCAACCCUUGAUCUUAGUUGCCAGCAUUCAGUUGGGCACUCUAAGGUGACUGCCGGUGACAAACCGGAGGAAGGUGGGGAUGACGUCAAAUCAUCAUGCCCCUUAUGACCUGGGCUACACACGUGCUACAAUGGACAGAACAAAGGGCAGCGAAACCGCGAGGUUAAGCCAAUCCCACAAAUCUGUUCUCAGUUCGGAUCGCAGUCUGCAACUCGACUGCGUGAAGCNGGAAUCGCUAGUAAUC